UUGCUUUGAAUACAUGAAACAAUUGAUAAAAAUGCAUUUUUAUUUGAAAAGUGUGCAGAAACAAUCACUGAAUACAUAUCUCAACCAUGGUAUUCAAACCCACAUGCCACAGAAUCGUUGGAUGCUAGAAUCUCUGAAGCCACUAGAACUUUGGUACAACAAAAUAAUGACCUAACUGAGUUUGUCAGGAACCACAGUCUAUUCAGGGGCAUAUAAAAUAAAAACUUCAAGUUCAAAGUUUUGAGUUAUAUUCAAAUCAUUAGACAAAACAGAGAUCUGUGCAGAAGACAGACAAAACAUGCCUAGUUUAAAAAUGAGGAUAACAUUACUCAAAGGUAAACUAGUGGGCUACAGUAAAGCACUUCAGUGUUAUUUUAAUAGAAUAUUGUCUACUUUUAACACAUUAACUAAAGCAGAAUAAUUUAUUUUUCUUAAUUUCAAAUACAAUCAGAAUCUUGUACAAGUUAAUAGACACAAAAGCCCUAUUUGUACAGAAGAUUUUGACCAGGUUAUAAUGUACUAUUUAUAAUUGAAUUGAUUUCUUUGAAAGAAAUACAAGAUAACACACAGACUGAAGUAAAGCUCAUAUUUUUUCAACAUUUAGAUAUAUUCAACAUUUUCAAUCAAAUCCAGGCACCUCAAGGUGACUGCUCAUGUGUAGUUUCUCGUCCCCUUAUUGAAAUUAGUGUGGUGUUCCAGUUAUAUUUCUUUCUUUCUUUUUUAUUUAAAUUUGGUACUGGGUCCUUGUGCUUGCAAGGCAGGCGGCGGAACCACUGAGCCAAAUCCCCAGCCCCUACUGCUAUAUUUCUUACAAGUGGUCCAGAUUAUGACUUUUUAACUCAUUUUUAGUUUAAGUGUCUGUUUAUGAGAGGGAAUACAAUUUACAAACCAGUUUUAAUAUAUUCUCAUUUGAGUCUGUUGCGUACACUUUGAGGCACUCAAGUUUUAUAAACUCACAUGAGAAGCCACUAAGAUAUUGAAUGACAUAAUAAGGUCCCCAAGGACACUUUUUCUUUCUGCAACACUAGGCUUUCUUUCAGAGAAUUUUGGGGAAAAGUCACCCAGAAAAAAAUAAGGAUAAGCAUAGAUUACAGACAAUAUUUUUAUGUGCCAACAAAUAUAAGGGCAGUAGGAACUGGUUAAAUAAGGGAUCCAUUUAGUUAAGAUCAGAUGUGCUGGUUCUUACAGAAUGUACUAAUAAGCUUUACAGAUUAAGUCAGCUGAGAGAUAUUAGCUAUGACUUCCAAGACCUUUUAGAAAGGAAAGGAACCAGAAAAUCCCAUUUAAACCACUCAAUAAAUUAUAUUUUUUCACAAAAGAUGACAUUAUCUUUAGUCCCACUAUUUUGGUACUAAUGUUUUUGUUUGUUUAUUUUUGUUAACGCUUUUCUUUAUAUAUGAAGUUAAAAAAUAUCUUAACCAUUGAC
RNAcentral lists this long non-coding RNA (1426 nucleotides) under Heterocephalus glaber (naked mole-rat). RNAcentral describes it as "lncRNA (ENSHGLG00100036170.1)". The record is from RNAcentral. Lineage: Eukaryota; Metazoa; Chordata; Mammalia; Rodentia; Bathyergidae.